ACGCAAGAGCAGAGGAGGACGAGAACAGCAGAGCACUGGU
RNAcentral lists this small RNA (40 nucleotides) under Arabidopsis thaliana (thale cress). RNAcentral describes it as "ATSL013530". The record is from RNAcentral. Lineage: Eukaryota; Viridiplantae; Streptophyta; Magnoliopsida; Brassicales; Brassicaceae.